UACGUAGGGUGCAAGCGUUUGUCCGGAAUUAUUGGGCGUAAAGAGCUCGUAGGCGGCUUGUCGCGUCGACCGUGAAAACUUGGGGCUCAACCCCAAGCCUGCGGUCGAUACGGGCAGGCUCGAGUUCGGUAGGGGAGACUGGAAUUCCUGGUGUAGCGGUGAAAUGCGCAGAUAUCAGGAGGAACACCGAUGGCGAAGGCAGGUCUCUGGGCAUUAACUGACGCUGAGGAGCGAAAGCAUGGGGGAGCGAACAGG
This 255-nucleotide ribosomal RNA is filed under the name uncultured bacterium. Its description in RNAcentral is "partial 16S ribosomal RNA". It matches the Rfam family "Bacterial small subunit ribosomal RNA", at positions 524 to 776 of the family's 1533-position model. The record is from RNAcentral.